AGAAUCAACGCUGGCGGCGUGCCUAACACAUGCAAGUCGAACGAGAAAGUGGGAGCAAUCCCACGAGUAAAGUGGCGCACGGGUGAGUAACACGUGACUAACCUACCCUUGAGUGGGGGGAUAACCUAGGGAAACCUGGGCUAAUACCGCAUAAUACCUACGGGUCAAAGGAGCAAUUCGCUUUAGGAGGGGGUCGCGGCAGAUUAGUUAGUUGGCGGGGUAAUGGCCCACCAAGACAGUGAUCUGUAUCCGGCCUGAGAGGGCGCACGGACACACUGGAACUGAAACACGGUCCAGACUCCUACGGGAGGCAGCAGUGGGGAAUUUUGCGCAAUGGGGGAAACCCUGACGCAGCAACGCCGCGUGGAGGAUGAAGCCCCUUGGGGCGUAAACUCCUUUCGAUCGGGAAGAUAAUGACGGUACCGGAAGAAGAAGCCCCGGCUAACUUCGCGCCAGCAGCCGC
Molecule: ribosomal RNA, 463 nt
Filed under: uncultured bacterium
Lineage: Bacteria
Description: SSU rRNA
Rfam family: Bacterial small subunit ribosomal RNA
Source: RNAcentral